RNAcentral lists this non-coding RNA (89 nucleotides) under [Clostridium] ultunense Esp. Its description in RNAcentral is "Glycine". The stretch from base 4 to 81 matches the Rfam family "Glycine riboswitch aptamer", at positions 9 to 86 of the family's 94-position model. From Rfam's summary of the family: This family represents the bacterial glycine riboswitch. Glycine riboswitches usually consist of two metabolite-binding aptamers domains with similar structures in tandem. The record is from RNAcentral. Lineage: Bacteria; Bacillati; Bacillota; Tissierellia; Tissierellales; Tepidimicrobiaceae.
CAUCUCUGGAGAGUGCUUCCGCAGGAAGCCACCAAAGGAGGAACUCCGAUAGGGAGGAUACUCUCAGGUAAAGGGACAGGGGACAGGAU